GUGCGGGCAGCGCUGUCCGGGGCACGCCCAGCUUCUGCAUGCAAGAGAAACGCCCUGGCCCGCCCUUGCCCACGGAUUUUGGCUCCAGAGCAGCUUCUGCGGGAGGAGCCGGGCUCUGGGCGCUGCGAGCCCAGGCAAGACAGCCUUUAGGGCGGGUCCGCCGACCCCCAGGCCCACGGCCACCCACAGCCUCCGCUCGCCCCCUGCCGGCCGAGCCCAGAACGACAGCCCCGCCGGCCUCGGUCUGUGGGCAACACCCCAGAAUCAGCGGGAAGCGACCACCGGUCCCACGGGGAUGAGGACCCGCCUGGACAGCUCACGUGGGACAAGCUGGCUUUGCCGCCUACAUAUCUGACCACUUUAGACAGGGCCUCCUCCCUAGGGAGCCUUCUUGACUCACCUGAGCACAGCUGAUCUCCUGCUUCCUGCUGUGACUGCACUUGAGACGCUUUGGUAUGGUGGCUUCAAGAUUCAGAGGCGAGGUGACUCUGAAGAAUGGAAAUGGUGGGUUUGCUUUGUGUUUGUGGAACUAGGAAAGGAAGAUGGGAGAUCGAGAAGGUAGUGGUUAGGGGCAAUCUCAAAUGGAGGGAUUUGGGAUUAGGGGAGAUGGGAUUAUUGGAGUCGGGGGAGUAGCUCUGCUCCCUGGCUAGCAGAUGGGAGGAAGAUCCUGCCUGGUCCCUCCAGGACAGUAGGCCUGCAAUUCCACUGGUGGCCACGAGGUGUCAGUGGUGUCCCUGGGGCGGCUGGGUUGAGAGAGGGAGCUGGUAAAACAGAAAGCACUGCUUUUUGAAAAAUUCAGCAUUUGUCCAAUCCCAUAUUAAUGAGGUUAGAGCUGCAGCUCUUGCUUCUCCUGCCCUGCCACAGCUUAUGAUGAUAUUCACUGGUCCCCAUUCUCCCAGUAACCUACAUUGGGGACUGGGCAGGGCCCUCAUGCUGGCUGUGUCCACAGCCCUUUCUCCUGCAGUCAGGAAAGCCCAGAGUGUUGCAAACGAGUGAAAGUGACAAUGCUUGAAUCUGCCCUAAUUUUUUUUUAAAAGUUCAAUUAUUCACAGACUUUGGUACUUUAACACGAGUAAUAUGAUACCAAUGACAUACUUCAAGAUGGUGUGUGGUGACAUUGUAGGUAAGAAACACUGAGCUAGAAAUGCUGGGCAGGUUGCCCUCCUGGGACAGCAAAACUUCCAGCCAGGGGGCCGUUGCUGUCGGGCUUUUCCUGGUUAUCUUUUCAGAGAGGCCGCCGAACAGAGUGAUCAAGAGCACGGCUCUGGAGCCAGGCUGCCUGGGAGCAAGGCUUUCUCUUCCACUCGCCAGCUCUGAGAUCUUAGCGGCUCCUGGGGCACAUGCUUCUCAUGGAAAACGGCAGGAACUGAAAAGCCAGGCCGACCCUCACAGCACAUUUGAGGGUGCUCAUGACACGGUGCUAACAUCCUACUGCCAAAGCAGCGUCAUGGCCAGGUCUGUUACAGUGCAGUGGGAAAGGAUCUCCCCCAUAACAGGGCAAUUUGUGACGGACUGUGGCUUGCGGUGCAUGCAGCACAUCCAAGUUCACCGCAGCCAUGAGGAAACUGAGGCACAGAGAACUUCCUCAAAGUCAUUGGGUGUCACUGAGCUUCUGGUCAUGUGAGAUGGGUGACUGAGCACAGGUUUUCGAACAUCCAGACAAGCUGCCUUCUAUAACUCUGGAGCCUUCCCACCGUCAACCACAUAUGGACCCUGGGUCAGAGUUUGCGGAAUGAUUUACAGGGGAGAAGAUGCCACCAGGGAGAGGUGAAGCUGUUGUCUCAGGCUGCACAGCAAGUUGGUCCAGGGCCAGGAUCUGAAGCCAAGUCUCUCCAACGCCACUGCCUGAGCACUUUCUCCUCUGCUGCAACCUCUGUUGCUGGAGGGUGCCUUCCAGCCUGAAGGAGAGAGCUGAGAUUCCAGCCCCUCAGCUUCCCGGACUUCUCCGUGGCAUUUGCUGCCUGACCGCUGGCACCUUUCCUCCUAGAUUGUCCCUCCCAUCUCGUCUUUCCCGAACUUUCGCAGCAUGUGCAAGCUGCCCAGUUUCCUUAUCUGUAAAUUCAGCUUCCCAGGGUCCAUAGACUCAGAUGCCACCUCCUCAGAGAGGUCUUCCCGGAUCACACCAUGGGACCCACAGCCCAUCCCUCUCGCAGCGGGCGGAUUAUUUUUCACCUUCAUUUGUUUCCUGCCCACUAGAAUGGGCGUGACACAGAGGUGGGGGGUUGAUCCAGCGCCCUCACUCUUGCAUCCCAGCACCUGAGCCCAUGCCCGGCCGCACAGUGCUCAGUAUAUAAUUGCUGAGUGAAUAAACAAACGAAUUUAUGAUAAUAACAGCCACCGUUUCUGGAGUGUUCACUGUGUGCCAGGCACUGUGUCGAUCUUCAUAACAACCCCACGAGGAAGGUCAAUGAUUACACCCAUUUUACAGAUCAGGAAACUGAGUCAUACAGAGGUAAAAUAACUUGCCGGUGGUUUGCCUCUGGCCGUCUGCAUGUCUGACUCUAGUGCUCAUCAGAAUGCGUUGUCGCCUCAAAAGUGCCCUCAAACUCCAGUGGCUCGUAUCUACAGAGCUUCUCCUGGCCUUGCUAAGAGCUGACCUCUGGCCUCAGUGGAGCCCCGUGCAUGGCUCGCCCUCUCCCAGGCCCCUUGCUCUUGCCAAGAAGAGACGCACUGAGCCCCCACUGGAGCCCGGGGUACAGACAUCCUUUCCCUCUCACGGGUGAUGGUCCAAAAUUGAAAACAAAC
Equus caballus (horse) is the source of this 2745-nucleotide long non-coding RNA. The record is from Ensembl. NCBI's taxonomy places the organism in Eukaryota, Metazoa, Chordata, Mammalia, Perissodactyla, Equidae.